RNAcentral lists this long non-coding RNA (961 nucleotides) under Capsicum annuum. RNAcentral's name for it is "long non-coding RNA (CANN_LNC003276)". Lineage: Eukaryota; Viridiplantae; Streptophyta; Magnoliopsida; Solanales; Solanaceae. The record is from RNAcentral.
UAUGUUUUCAUUUAUAACUUGUUUGUCAUUUUGAAAAAAAAGAAGUUAAUUAGAUUUUGUUUGAAUUUUAAAUGGGAUAAUUGUUAAAUUUAUUAGCGUUAAAAUAUGUAACGUUACACUCGGUUUGCGUGUGAUUAAUGUAGUUGCGUUGUAAACUAAAAUUUUGGACUCAUGCAUGCACGUAAAAAAAAAAUGCAUGACAUACAGAAUAUAUAAAAUGAGUUAAAGAAUGUUUUUUUGUACAUUUACAUGACUUUCCUUGUUUUUUUUAGGUUUCAGAUUCUUGUUUGUUUUGCAAACGUUUUACUGUUUAUUUUUUUUUUUAUUUUGUCAAGAUUCGCCUAGAUCCUUUGUGGAUUUCAUGGACUGGUAUUUAAGUUGUUUUAUUGUCCUCCCAAUUUGUUGCUUGUUUGAAUUGGAAUAAAAGAAAAGUAAAAUAAAAUAUUAUCAUACGGGAAACUGUAGUGUCAUAAAAGCAGACUGGCAAUACAUUAAAAUAUGACAUUAAAAUAUUAAAAAGUUACAUUUCUUUCAACAUAUUUAUAUUAAGUUUUUAAAGAGUACGUUUAGGUUAAUAUAAUCACUUCUUUUAAAAAAAAAUGAGAGAACAAUUCGUAAAGGAAUGAGUUUAGGUCCUAGACCAAAAGAAUUUAAAGUCUAACAUACAAGUGAAAAUUAACGAUGAAGUUGGAAAGCCCUGCUACCGACCAUUCGUUAUAAUUAAAUUAAUUUACCAUUCGAAGCCAAUUGAAUUGGGUUGGGUAGGUUUUAAACCCAUUAGGUGCUUAUUUAGAUUAGGAAAAUCGGAACGACUCAUAAAUGCCUCAAAGGCGCGAGAAACGUGCCAAAAUUUGUGGUGAGGCUGAAAAGUACUACUAUCGGUAAGCCACAAGUCAAUAUAAUAAAUAAUUUCAAAUAAAUUAAAAGCGGGAGGCAAACAACUUUUAGGUUAACAAAUAUU